AACGAACGCUGGCGGCGUGCCUAACACAUGCAAGUCGAACGAGAAAGCGGGCUUCGGCCCGUGAGUAAAGUGGCAGACGGGUGAGUAACACGUGAGCAACCUGCCCCACAGACCGGGAUAGCCCAGGGAAACCUGGAUUAAUACCGGAUACCCUCCUAGGACCGCAUGGUCCAUUGAGGAAAUACCUUUGUGCUGUGGGAUGGGCUCGCGACUUAUCAGCUAGUUGGUGGGGUAACGGCCUACCAAGGCAUUGACGAGUAGCUGGUCUGAGAGGACGAUCAGCCACACUGGAACUGAGACACGGUCCAGACUCCUACGGGAGGCAGCAGCAGGGAAUCUUGCGCAAUGGGCGAAAGCCUGACGCAGCGACACCGCGUGGGGGAUGAAGGCCUUCGGGUUGUAAACCCCUUUCAGCGGGGAAGAUAAUGACGGUACCCGCAGAAGAAGCCCCGGCUAACUCCGUG
Molecule: ribosomal RNA, 464 nt
Filed under: uncultured bacterium
Lineage: Bacteria
Description: bacterial SSU rRNA
Rfam family: Bacterial small subunit ribosomal RNA
Source: RNAcentral